AUACGACCGUACCGCAAACCGACACUGGUGCGCGAGAUGAGUAUUCUAAGGCGCUUGAGAGAACUCAGGAGAAGGAACUCGCCAAAUUGACACCGUAACUUCGGAAGAAGGUGUGCCCUAUUAGUGGGUAGUGAACAACGAAGCAUGAAUGGGUUGCAAAAAAUCGGUGGCUGCGACUGUUUAUUAAAAACACAGCACUCUGCAAACACGAAAGUGGACGUAUAGGGUGUGACGCCUGCCCGGUGCUGGAAGAUUAAAUGAUGGGGUGCAAGCUCUUGAUUGAAGUCCCAGUAAACGGCGGCCGUAACUAUAACGGUCCUAAGGUAGCGAAAUUCCUUGUCGGGUAAGUUCCGACCUGCACGAAUGGCGUAACGAUGGCCACACUGUCUCCUCCUGAGACUCAGCGAAGUUGAAAUGUUUGUGAUGAUGCAAUCUCCCCGCGGAAAGACGGAAAGACCCCAUGAACCUUUACUGUAGCUUUGUAUUGGACUUUGAACAGAUCUGUGUAGGAUAGGUGGGAGGCUUUGAAGCAGGGUCGCUAGAUCUUGUGGAGCCAACGUUGAAAUACCACCCUGGUGUGUUUGAGGUUCUAACCUAGGUCCAUUAUCUGGAUCGGGGACAGUGCAUGGUAGGCAGUUUGACUGGGGCGGUCUCCUCCCAAAGCGUAACGGAGGAGUUCGAAGGUACGCUAGUUACGGUCGGACAUCGUGACGAUAGUGCAAUGGCAUAAGCGUGCUUAACUGCGAGACUGACAAGUCGAGCAGAUGCGAAAGCAGGACAUAGUGAUCCGGUGGUUCUGUAUGGAAGGGCCAUCGCUCAACGGAUAAAAGGUACUCUGGGGAUAACAGGCUGAUACCGCCCAAGAGUUCAUAUCGACGGCGGUGUUUGGCACCUCGAUGUCGGCUCAUCUCAUCCUGGGGCUGUAGCCGGUCCCAAGGGUAUGGCUGUUCGCCAUUUAAAGAGGUACGUGAGCUGGGUUUAAAACGUCGUGAGACAGUUUGGUCCCUAUCUUCCGUGGGCGCUGCAGAUUUGAGGAAGCCUGCUCCUAGUACGAGAGGACCGGAGUGGACACACCUCUGGUGUAUCGGUUGUCACGCCAGUGGCAUUGCCGAGUAGCUAAGUGUGGAAGAGAUAACCGCUGAAAGCAUCUAAGCGGGAAACUCGUUUCAAGAUGAGAUCUGCCGGGGCCUUGAGCCCCCUAAAGAGUCGUUCAAGACCAGGACGUUGAUAGGUCAGGUGUGGAAGC
This 1246-nucleotide ribosomal RNA is filed under the name metagenome. RNAcentral describes it as "bacterial LSU rRNA". It matches the Rfam family "Bacterial large subunit ribosomal RNA", at positions 1636 to 2874 of the family's 2925-position model. The record is from RNAcentral.